RNAcentral lists this ribosomal RNA (484 nucleotides) under uncultured bacterium. RNAcentral describes it as "partial 16S ribosomal RNA". It matches the Rfam family "Bacterial small subunit ribosomal RNA", at positions 30 to 507 of the family's 1533-position model. The record is from RNAcentral.
AUUGAACGCUGGCGGCAGGCCUAACACAUGCAAGUCGAGCGGAUGAAGGGAGCUUGCUCCUGGAUUCAGCGGCGGACGGGUGAGUAAUGCCUAGGAAUCUGCCUGGUAGUGGGGGAUAACGUCCGGAAACGGGCGCUAAUACCGCAUACGUUCUGAGGGAGAAAGUGGGGGAUCUUCGGACCUCACGCUAUUAGAUGAGCCUAGGUCGGAUUAGCUAGUUGGUGGGGUAAAGGCCUACCAAGGCGACGAUCCGUAACUGGUCUGAGAGGAUGAUCAGUCACACUGGAACUGAGACACGGUCCAGACUCCUACGGGAGGCAGCAGUGGGGAAUAUUGGACAAUGGGCGAAAGCCUGAUCCAGCCAUGCGGCGUGUGUGAAGAAGGUCUUCGGAUUGUAAAGCACUUUAAGUUGGGAGGAAGGGCAGUAAGUUAAUACCUUGCUGUUUUGACGUUACCAACAGAAUAAGCACCGGCUAACUUCGUG